RNAcentral lists this ribosomal RNA (684 nucleotides) under Triticum aestivum (bread wheat). RNAcentral's name for it is "partial small subunit ribosomal RNA". Lineage: Eukaryota; Viridiplantae; Streptophyta; Magnoliopsida; Poales; Poaceae. The record is from RNAcentral.
AUGGCCCUCCGCCGCAGCCCGCGGCUCCACCCCCAAAUCCCCGUGAGUGGGGAGGACGCCGGAGUUACCCGCCGACGCAGCUCGCGGCUCAACCCCCAAAUCCGUGUGGAUCGAUGUGUGUUUGUUUAUUGUAAUCCUGGGAUCCUUGUUGGCAAUGCCAUUUACUGGUCGUCUCAGAGUGUCGAUGCUGAAUCAAAUUUUUUGAAUUUGGAUGAGCUCGCAGACGACAUAAUUGAGUUUGAUUUGGAUAGGCAGAGUCUUGCUGUGAUCAAGGGGCCUCCAGAUCUUAAUCAUUCCACCACGCAUCAGAUAAUCCAAACCGAGGAUGGUGAUGUUGGUAUUGCCAUAUUCUCUCAUGGUAGAUUCGAAAUGUGGCAGAGGAAGGUCAGUUGUUUCGGUGGUGCUACAUGGUUCCUGCACAAGACCGUUGAAAUACAUACUGUUCUUGGGAUCCCUCCUCAGGUUGAAGGAUCGGUGAGAGGGGUCAAAAUACUUGGGUAUGAUGAGGAUAAUGGUGUAAUGUUUUUAUUUCUGGACUACAAUGUCUACAUGGUUCAAGUUAUGUCAAUGCAAUCCAUGAAACAUUAUCAAAGCAAUUAUGCAAGUUAUGCUGAUGACAUUCAUCCUUUCACAAGUUUCUAUGCACCAGGUGACUGCUCAUCCUUAGUCCUUGUGUUGUGGUAG